GGCGUCCGUAUUGACUUGACACUAAUAUGGAAAGGCCGUCAUUACAAGCAAACCAAGCCAAUAAUAAUAAUAAUAAUAAUAACAACAAUAAUAACAAUAGUAAUAGUCUAUGGACUCGAUUCUAACGCGCACCUUCUUGGGACUUGCUAAAAAUGAUAUCAUUCCAUAAACUACAUACUGACUUGACCUUAAUAUUGAAAUUCACUCAUUUAAAGGAAACUAAGACAAAUACCAUAAUAAUAAUAAUAAUAAUAAUACCAUAAUGACUCGAGUCUAAUGCGCACCUUCUUGAGGUUCGCCAAAAACGAUAACAUACCAUAAACUCCGUAUUGACAUGACCUCAAUAUUGAAAUUCAAUCAUUUAAAGGAAACUAAGACAAAUACCAUAAUAAUAAUAAUAAUAAUAAUACCACCACCAUAAUGACUCGAGUCUAAUGCGCACCUUCUUGGGGCUCGCCAAAAAUGACAACAUACCAUAAACUCCCUAUUGACUUGACCUUAAUAUUGAAAUUCAAUCAUUUAAAUGAAACUAAGACAAAUACCAUAAUAACAAUAACAACAACAACAAUAAUAAUACCACCAUAUGGAGAGUCUAAUGCACACCUUCUUGAGGCUCGCCAAAAAUGAUAACAUACCACAAACUCCAUAUUGACAUGACCUUAAUAUUGAAAUUCAAUCAUUUAAGACAAAUACCAUAAUAAUAAUAAUAAUAAUACUAAUAAUAAUAACAACAACAAUAGUAAUAUCCUACUGACUCAAUUCUAAUGCGCGCCUUCUUGGGACUUGCCAAAAAUGAUAUCAUUCCAUAAACUCCAUACUGACUUGACCUUAAUAUUGAAAUUCACUCAUUUAAAGGAAACUAAGACAAAUACCAUAAUAAUAAUAAUAAUAAUGAUAAUAAUAAUAAUAAUAGUAGUAGUUGUAGUACCAUAAUGACUCGAGUCUAAUGCGCACCUUCUUGAGGCUCUCCAAAAAUGAUAACAUACCAUAAACUCCGUAUUGACAUGACCUCAAUAUUGAAAUUCAAUCAUUUAAAGGAAACUAAGACAAAUACCAUAAUAAUAAUAAUAAUAAUGAUAAUAAUAACAAUAGUAAUAUCCUAUUGACUCGAUUCUAAUGUGCACCUUCUUGGGACUUGCCAAAAAUGAUAUCAUUCCAUAAACUCCAUACUGACUUGACCUUAAUAUUGAAAUUCACUCAUUUAAAGAAACUAAGACAAAUACUAUAAUAAUAAUAAUAAUAAUAAUAAUAAUAAUAAUAAUAAUAAUAAUACCAUAAUGACUCGAGUCUAAUGUGCACCUUCUUGGGGCUCGUCAAAAAUGACAACAUUACCAUAAACUCCCUAUUGACUUGACCUUAAUAUUGAAAUUCAAUCAUUUAAAGGAAACUGUAAUGAAGUGUGAAUUUUUAGUUUACAGAUGUUAUGUUUAAUUGUGUAUGGUGUUUUAAAAGGGUCAAUAUUUCAGUUAUUGCAUCUCUGCACUCAUGAGUUGGUUGCCAUGGAGAAGUGGGCGGAGCCAACUGCCGUUUUGGUGGAGAAGUGCAGGUUUAAAAAAGAAGCAGUUAGUCUGUGCCCUGAUGAGGUACAGGGAAGACUGACCCUAAGUUGAAGGGAUCAGGGAGGCUCAAUUGCUUAUUUUGAGUCAGUUUAAAAUAAGUUUGGUGACUUAUUUUAAGGUAGUCUGUCUCCUGAUGAGGAACAGAUAAUCUGUGAUUGUAAUUCACAGGGUGACUGCAGUUUAAAGCAGUAGAGAAAGAAGUGACAUUUUAAGAAGUUUGAAACACCUCAUUCUAGCUUUGCAAUUGUUAACUAAAGUGCCUCUAAAGAGAAAGUUACUUUAACGGUUAUAAUAUAAUAUAUUUAAUUAAUUAAUAAAAUCCAUCCACCACAGAAACUAAGGCAAAUACCAUAAUAAUAAUAAUAAUAACAACAACAACAACAACAAUAAUACCGUAUUGACCUUCUUGGAGCAUGCCAAAAAUGAUAACAUUCCAUAUUGACUUGACACUAAUACUGAAAUACUGCUAUUAAAAG
This is a long non-coding RNA of Anolis carolinensis (green anole), 2035 nucleotides long. RefSeq lists it as uncharacterized. The transcript has 2 exons. The record is from RefSeq and is a predicted model, not a curated record. Lineage: Eukaryota; Metazoa; Chordata; Lepidosauria; Squamata; Anolidae.